Molecule: long non-coding RNA, 1930 nt
Organism: Gambusia affinis (western mosquitofish)
Lineage: Eukaryota; Metazoa; Chordata; Actinopteri; Cyprinodontiformes; Poeciliidae
Exons: 4
Source: RefSeq, a predicted model, not a curated record
UGUUCAUUUAAUGAAAUAAAUAUCUUUAAGAACUGGAGGUGACCAGUAGAAGUGCUGGUCAUAACUUCCUGGAUAAAUAUGGAAACAGAAACAGGUUUGAAUAAUUUAAGUUCCUUCAUGCAGAUCUUUGUGUUGCAGUUGAUGUUGUUUAAGGAAGUUUUUAAUUGGGGGAUUUUAUGUUUUCUGUUGUCAUGUAAUCUGUUUGUGUUGUAAAAUGUCAGUAAAGACUGAAUUUACUGACAUCAUCAUCAUCUUCAUCUUCAUCAUCAUCAUCUUCAUCGUGUUUUGUAGAAAAAUAUGAAACAAUAACUGAAAUCAAAACGAUUUCUGAAGUAACAGAAGAAACUCAGACGGCUGAAAUGAAAUUUGUUGCUCACUUAUCACAAAUCACAGUUUGGUUUUGAUUUGUUCAGGGAAAUAUUUAGUAAAAUAAAACUGAUAAAACGUCCAGUCAGCAGCAGGUAGUUGUUCUCCAGCUGAUUCAAUUUACCAAAACAUUUCAUAAAACCUCAGUAGAUCUGAGGGGAAAACAUUUAGAAACAGAUUUUAUUUUGUACGUCAGUCAUUUCUGAGAGCUUUCAGGAUUUGGGUCGUUGUUCUGUUGGAUCCAUAAACGAUGUCUGGGAUCUGCAGCAGGUUUGUCUGGCGCUUUCUGUUCCCGUUUUCCUUCAACGCAUCAAACGAACCAGCAAUAAACUCAAACCUCCUCCAGGUUUCACUGAGGGAACGAUUUACUGAAGAGUCACGUUUUCCAGGUCCAGUUUCCUGUUUCAGGUCCAGGAAUAUUCUCCAAGGAUUCAACCAGCAGUGAAGGUUUAACGUCUAAAGAUAAAAUAUUCUGUUUUUUAAUUUUGUAGUAUAAAAACCAUUCCAGGUAAAUCUUACCUGAGUAAAAAAUGCAGCUUUCAAAUAACAAAAUCAAUCCAGAGAGCCAGUCAGGCCUGUGAUGUGGUGAAGUUUGAUUGUAUAUCGUUCCACAGAGAUAUUGGUAAAACAGAAAAGAUGUUCCUGCUCUCAGAAAAGCUGCUGCUUGUUUUUCCAGGCAGAAACGAUGAUUCAGCAGAUCCAGGAGAUUUCUGGGACUUCAAGUUGUUCAUGUGCUGCCGACGUCCCACAGGGAGCUGGAGGCAGCAAACAGGGCGGAGGAGGUGGAGCUGAUGAAGAGGAGGUGGAGCUGAUGAAGAGGAGGUGGAGCUGAUGAAGAGGAGGUGCAGCUGAUGAAGAGGAGGUGGAGCUGAUGAAGAGGAGGUGCAGAGGAAGGUGUGGAGGAGACCAGGAAGAUCCGACUGAAGAUGAGGCGUCAGGACCAGCUGUACCGACUGGCAGGGGUCAGAGAGAAUCCAGCUUUAAUCCAGAGAGUAAGUGACGUCACUUCAGCCACACAUUUCACUCAUGAAAGAUUCUGGGAGGAACCCCAGAACGCAGGUACCGCCCCAGAACGCAGGUACCGCCCCAGAACGCAGGUACCGCCCCCAGAACCUUCUGCGCCGGCGCCGCUGAGGAUUGACCCGGAGAUCGCAGCGAUGUCAUUGGUUCAGAGUCACGGCGAACAGUCUGUGGAUGUCAGGAGGAUUUUUUGGAGAAUCACUUUCUUCAGGUUCUUCUGAACUCGUUUCAUUUCUGUCAGUGACUCGGAACGUUCUGCAGGUUUUAUAUCUGAUGGUCUCUGCAUCUUGUUCACCCUAAGAACGGUCAGUACUGACCUGCUUGGAGGUCAUCAGCUUUUCCUUCAUGGAGAAUUAAAAUCCCCAGAUGAACAAACCCGAUGCAGCAGACAGGAACAAGCUGUUCCUGUGACGACAGGAGGAGAGGAUGUUCCUGGCAGCUAGGGGUCAGGGGUCAGAGGUCAGACGUGUCCUUUAAACCAGACUGACGGGAGUUCAGUGAUCAGCUGCUGCCAGUUUGAGCUGCAGCUGAUCACUGUCACCAC